ACUACGGGAGGCAGCAGUGGGGGAUAUUGCACAAUGGGGGGAACCCUGAUGCAGCGACGCCGCGUGGGUGAAGAAGCGCCUCGGCGCGUAAAGCCCUGUCAGCAGGGAAGAAAAUGACGGUACCUGAAGAAGAAGCCCCGGCUAACUACGUGCCAGCAGCCGCGGUAAUACGUAGGGGGCAAGCGUUAUCCGGAUUUACUGGGUGUAAAGGGGGCGCAGACGGCGAUGCAAGCCAGGAGUGAAAGCCCGGGGCCCAACCCCGGGACUGCUCUUGGAACUGCGUGGCUGGAGUGCAGGAGGGGCAGGCGGAAUUCCUGGUGUAGCGGUGAAAUGCGUAGAUAUCAGGAGGAACACCGGUGGCGAAGGCGGCCUGCUGGACUGCAACUGACGUUGAGGCCCGAAAGCGUGGGGAGCAAACAGGAUUAGAUACCCGAGUAGUC
This 440-nucleotide ribosomal RNA is filed under the name uncultured bacterium. RNAcentral describes it as "partial 16S ribosomal RNA". It matches the Rfam family "Bacterial small subunit ribosomal RNA", at positions 338 to 795 of the family's 1533-position model. The record is from RNAcentral.